CGGCGCGAGGCGGGCCGUUAGCGGCCGUUACCGCCCCGCCGAGGCGGCUCGGCGCCGCUCCCUCAGCGCCCGGCCGGCAUGUUCGUCCCGUGUGAGGGCGGCGGCCCCGACCUCCAGGGCUUCACGCUGCUCAUGCCAGCGGUGUCAGUGGGAAAUGUUGGUCAACUGGCAAUAGAUCUGGUGAUUUCCACGCUUCGCAUGACUAAAAUUGGUUACUUCUACACGGACUGCCUGGUGCCAAUGGUUGGGAAUAAUCCAUAUGCAACAUCAAAAGAAAAUUUGGUGGAGCUGAGUAUAAAUGCUGAAGUGUAUUCGUUACCUUCAAAGAAACUUGUAGUUCUGCAGAUCAGGUCACCUUUCAUAAAGAACAAAUACAGGCCGUUCUGCCAAGCACUGCUUUCUUGGGUGGAAAGCAGCAAAUGUGCCAGAGUCAUUCUUCUGUCUAGCAGCCACGCAUACCAGCGCGACGAUGAGCAACUUCUUGGAACACCACUGCGCUACCUGCUUACACCAGCUCUUGAGAAAGCAAUUGGAGGCCAUAUGCAGGAGCUAAAUUGGAAAGAAAUGGAAAAAAUAGCAGCUUUCCCUGGAAUAAAUGAUGCAGAAAAAGUUCUACGUAUUCCUGGAGGUGGCAUCACAAAAUUACUGUUUACUGAGAGUUGUUCAAAAGGAAUCCAAAUGGCAGUUCUUCUGAAAUUCUGCUCAGAAGGGGACAAUAUCCCUGAUGCAUUUGUUCUUGUUAACUAUCUUAAUGAAUGGCUCCAGCUAAUUAAAAGCAAAGGAAACCAUUCCACAGAUAUUUCUCCAGAACAGGAAAUGCCAGAUACUUCUUCACAAUGGAAAAUACCAAGUUCUUGGCGCUUACUUUUUGGCAACGGUCUUCCACCUGCACUCUUCUGAUCCAUUCUGAGUUCUUCUCUCUUUUUAAAUUCUCUAUGCUCUUGAAAGCUUUGAUGAACUCCAUGCUCAAAACGUCACCGAAUCCCAGCACUGCUGGCAACGCCUCAUUUUCCAAGUCUGAGGACAGCACUACCCCUGUACUGCAGGUCUUUCCCUCCGCUUUGCACAGACCCUCAGAACAACUGUGAGCUGAAUUACCGCAUCCUCCAGUUAGGAGUGUGCAGAAUUCUGUUUCACAAUGAAUUCAAGUCUCUUACUUAAUACACUUCAAGAAAAACAAAAAUGUACCAUCACAUUCAGUGGACCGUCCCUGCAUUAAGGAUAUAAUCAAACAGAAAACUUAAAUGACUAAUUCCAAACUUGCAAACUAUUUGCAACUGAGGUCCAGACAUUUGUUAGUGGUAUUUAUUAAAACAUGCACGAUUUGUUUAGAAGUGUUCAUCCGAGAGUCGAACACUUUCAUUAAAUUCUAAGAAGUUCACUAUGCAUCAAGUAUUUUGACUGAUGUAUUUCCAAAAUGGGGAAAAAACCCAACACAGUGACACUUUGAAUCAAAGUACAACAGCAUUUCGGAAGUGACACAGAAACAGCCAACAGCUUGCCAGAAACUGGAGGGGAGGAGGAGGUUGUCAGAAGGCGCUUCCUUCAUUUUCACUCUUUCUUUAAGCAUUUCCUAAAAUAAAAGUCACUGGGAUUGACAGGUCUUGCACUUUGGCCCACAUUUGUUCUUAUUUAAGAUCCAAGUGCUACACAACUGCUGUAAAGUUAAAUCCUACAGAAUAACAAAAUACCACAAGGGCUCAGUUUGCAGUACAGAAAGCGAGCCUCCUGCAAAUUCAGUUUUUAAAGAAUUUUCUCCCAGGUCAGAUACUGAGGGAGUAGAGAGAAGAAUUUUACCCAAAUUAUUGCCUGGAACGCUCUACGAGAUCUAAUGCUUCGUUGCCCCCCUACUCUCAUGGCACAAUUCACUGGUCAAAAUAGUUUUGUCCUGGACUUGUAUUGGUUUGUCAUUCUAAAAUUAAGAUCAAUUAAACUUUGAAGAUCCUUACAACCAUGUCACCAAACUGAAAUUUUACCUAUCAGCUGCUGAAUUCUACUUUAUUGCAUCAAGAAGCUGAAAGCCAGAUGAUCUAAGGCGGCUCCCUCGGGCCCUGCCCCACAUGCCCCCACCCAGAAAAGAAGAAUGCCUCCUCAGGAUCCAAAGAACAAAAAAGCCAAAUUGUAGAAGAUGGAAACAGAAAGUUUCGAGGGACAUCUUGACAAGACACGAGUGGCUCAGUAUCUGUAUGAUGUUGGUGGCCCAGGAAAAUUAUUCUCAUGCCAACAGAAAGUUGAUAAAUGACAAUGUUUUCACCAAAGUUUUUGCCUGCAUUUUUUCCGUAACUGCUUUUAAGCAUUUUGAAUAAAAUCUGGAGUAUUUCUUUGUUAUAAAAGCAUUUAGUUACAUUCCACCUGUUUUUUCCAUAACCAAAACAUCUUUUAUAAGGCACAUAAAUUUAUACUGUGUGUCAGUUACAGCUAAGACUUUAAAGAAAAAAAGACAGACGUCCCAAUUUAAAAAAUAAAAAUAAUAAAACAAAAGAAUCUUCCAGCA
This is an RNA transcript of Oxyura jamaicensis (ruddy duck), 2494 nucleotides long. It is a transcript of the gene named proteasome assembly chaperone 2, with no coding region annotated. Lineage: Eukaryota; Metazoa; Chordata; Aves; Anseriformes; Anatidae. The transcript is spliced from 9 exons. The record is from RefSeq and is a predicted model, not a curated record.